AACCAUAGAAACCUGCGGAGUACCUGCGGAAGGAUCAUUACAGAGUUGCAAAACUCCCUAAACCAUUGUGAACGUUACCUAAACCGUUGCUUCGGCGGGCGGCCCGGGUCCUUCCCGGCGCCCCUCGGCCCUCGCGGGCGCCCGCCGGAGGUAAACCAAACUAUUGCAUUGUAUGGCCUCUCUGAGUCUUCUGCACUGAAUAAGUCAAAACUUUCAACAAUGGAUCUCAGAUCGGAAGAG
RNAcentral lists this unclassified non-coding RNA (240 nucleotides) under soil metagenome. RNAcentral describes it as "partial contains 5.8S ribosomal RNA, internal transcribed spacer 2, and large subunit ribosomal RNA". The record is from RNAcentral.